CUAGUCUCUCAUAGAAACUUCUGGCCUCUGGACACUGUGGGAGCAACUUUUCCUUUAUUAGACUGUCUCCUCUUUAACUGUACCUAGAAGAUACUUUAGCACAGCAAGCAUCUCUUUUAUGCUUACAUUAUGCAGUUAUGCAGACUUGGUGUACGUCCUUCAAGGACAGUCUAAGAAUCUUUGAUUCUAUUUCUGCUGGAUACAUUGUUGCAGAGAUGAAUAUUGCAGCAUGACUGGGAAGCCUGUCCUUCAUUACUUCAAUUGAAGAAGAAGAAUGGAGUCCAUCCGGUGGCUCCUGGCAGCAGCUGGAGUAGAGUUUGAGGAAGAACUUUUUGAAACCCAUGAAGAGUUUGAGAAGUUAAUCCAAGGUGGAACCCUGAUGUACGAGCAAGUGCCCAUGGUGGAAAUCGAUGGAAUGACUUUGGUGCAGACCAGUGCCAUCUUAAGAUAUGUAGCUGCAAAAUAUGACUUGUAUGGAAGGAACCUGGAGGAACAAGCCUGGAUUGAUAUGUAUGUAGAGGGCUUAAGAGACCUGAGCGACAUGAUAAUGUACUUUCCACUCUCUCUGCCAGAAGAGAAGGAGAUGAACCUUGAAUACAUCCUCCACCGAGCUACAACAAGAUUCUUCCCCGUUUAUGAGAAGGCCCUGAGAGACCACGGGCAAGACUUUCUUGUGGGCAAUCGGCUGAGCUUGGCUGAUGUCCAGCUCCUUGAAGUCAUCUUAAUGGCUGAAGAAUGCAAAGCCAGUGUUCUCUCGGGUUUCCCUCUGCUACAGGACUUCAAGGUGAGAACCAGCCAAAUUCCUACAAUUAACAGCUUCCUCCAACCUGGAAGCCAGAGGAAGCCUCCUUUGGAGGAGCGAUCCAUUGGGACUGCAAAGGACAUAUUCAAAUUUGAAUGAGGACUGUUUCUUAAAAACAUGAGCAAUAUAGUAGCUGAGUAUUAACAGCUACAGAGGCUGGAGUUACUCAGUAAGUAUACUGAGUAACUUGACACUGCAUUCAUAAAAAGACACUCACUAAGUAUAUGGCCAGAGAAAUAUCCUGAAGUUAGUAAUAAAUGUUAGGAAUCUUAGUAUGUUAGCAAUGUUAGAAUGUUAGUAAUGGAAAUAUUAAAUGUGUAAGAGAAAAACUACUAGAAGCUUAUCAAUAAACUACAAGAACCAACUCUUGUUUGAAGUAAGACAGGCUACCAAGACAGAAUUCAGAAAAUCCAAGGAGCCCUCGGCCUUCUGUAUGAUCCUAGAAUAAACUUGUAUGUAGCAAGUGAAA
RNAcentral lists this long non-coding RNA (1271 nucleotides) under Mus musculus (house mouse). Its description in RNAcentral is "predicted gene, 71569". The record is from RNAcentral. Lineage: Eukaryota; Metazoa; Chordata; Mammalia; Rodentia; Muridae.